AUCAGGAAGUGCUGAGGGACAGGAAAUCAGACAGAGAUGGCAGCUGGGCAUCCAGAUGUCUGGCCCCAAGGCUCAGACAAGGGCAGCUAGUGUUGUCAUCACGAAGCCUCUCAUGCAGCGCGAUGUCAGGAUGGGCCCAUGCGCGGGUGGAAGGCAUGUGGGGGCCAUGUUGCCAGCUGCGGAUGGACAGGCUUCUGAUAUCAGGCUGUGACAGCACUGUCAUCUCCCAAGAAUCCAGCAUCCGUCUGCAUGGAUUGCAUGCCAUCCUUGAAUCCACUCACUUGCCCAGCCCCUGAACCAACUGAUGAAUGUGGUGAAGUCUUCCCUUCGUCACCCCAGGUGCAGCCACAGCCUCUGCAGCCACCCUGGGGGAGAGACAGCUCCAGAUUCCCGCAAGGAGCAAAGAGAUUUUUGACUUUGUCUUCUUUUAUUGACAUUGAGGAGAAGCUUCUGACUCAGGCGAGCCUCACAAUAAGCUGUUUUUCAACUUCAGUAGACCCGGACCUGCUAAGGUGAGGUGUUCUGGAAGGGUCUCUGCUCCUAGCAGUCACUGGCAGCUUGCCCAAAUUGGAGAAGUUUAACAUCUCUUUUCUCUGAGAAGUAAAAUGUGUUUCUUUGGUGGAUGUGAAACCAACAAACCACUGUGGUGCCUCUCUACAUCUGAAGGAUGAGCCAGCCAAGCCAGGGGAACUGACGACCCCACACACGUCUGCACUGCUGUGGCCGUGUUGAACACGGACUCCUUCUUCAGGGCAGCCUUGGGCCAUCGGAGGGCUGCUGUAUGCAGUGACGGCCACCAAGUGUCCUUGGCCAGGGGAGUGAUUUACAGGGACUGAGAUCCUGACUUGUGACCCAGACACGAAUGCAUCCUUGUUCCAUUUUGUUAUUGCUCAACCGUCAUCUGGCCAUCCCCAAAGCCCACCUCUGUGAGAAAGGCCAGUGCUUGUCCUCGUGACACCCCUGAGACCUCGAUGGAGCAAGUCCCAGGGCCCAUCAUACAUUUUUAAAGAAAAUCUUCUUUUGGUGAGAAGAUCAAAGGGCCAGGCAGAAAUGGAAAAGCACUUUCUGGCAUCAGACUUCCUCUGACUUCUCCGGUUGCCACACCACUGAAAGACUGCCCCACAGUGCGAGGGACGUCCACAUCUGCCUGGCUCUCCGAGGGAUGAACAGCCUUCAGUUCAGCUUCCUGUCACACCCCAAAAUCCACCAGGGCUCUGCAGUCAUAGAGCCCUGGAACCCAGAGGUGGAAACUUAAAGGAAUGAGUGCUCUCUCGCUCCAAAACCACAGAUAUCUGGUCCAUAGAGAACCCACCACACUUGUAUACAUUUUCAUACGUCUGCGCACAUACACAAAUGCACAAACACAUGUUCAGCUGUUGAUAAUCAUCUGAUCUUUUGCUCUUUCGAUGUAAAUAUGGCCAGAUAUCUCUGGCUUUAAUUCUCAUUAAAAUUUUGAAAGUUAUACUUUCUAUACAAUAUACAUCAUGGAUGUCCAAUCUUUUGGCUUCCCUGUGCCAGAUUGAAAGAAGAAGAAUUGUCUUGGGGCCUGGCGUGAUGGCUCAUGCCUAUUAAUUCCAACACUUUGGGAGGCGGAGGUGGGAGGAUCACCUGAGAUCAGGAGUUCACGACUAGCCUGGCCAACAUGGUGAAACCCCCCCAUCUCUACUAAAAAUAUAAAAAUUAGCGAAGCAUGGUGGCACAUGCCUGUAAUCCCAGCUAUGCAGGAGGCUGAGGCAGGGGAAUCACUUGAUCCCAGGAAGCAGAGGUUGCAGUGAGCCAAGAUUGCACCAUUGCAUUCCAGCCUGGGCAACAGAGUGAGACCCAGUCUCAAGAAAAAAAAAAAAGAAUUAUCUUGGGCCACACAUACACACAUAAAAUACACUAACACUAAUGAUAGCUAAUGAGCUAAAAAAAAUUUCAAGAAUAUCAUAAUGUUUUAAGAGUUUAUGAAUUUGUGUUGGGCCACAUUCAAAGUCAUUGUGGGCUGCAUGUGGCCCGAGGGCCGCAGGUUGGACAAGCUUGAUAUACAUAUUAUGUAUAUUAUAUAUUUCUGUGAAAACAGAAUAAAUCCAAGACUGAGGAUCUAAUUCCAAAAUUCAUUUUUGUAGGCAUUCUGAGACUUAACUAUUUUUCUAGUCACAUAAUAAGGAAAGGAUCCUUACAGAAAUACUGAAAGCUCUUGGUUCUGCCUUUGCUGAUGUUUUCUCUUUUCUCUAUUCCCUCUCCCUUCACACUCGUCCUCAUUCUACAGCCUCAAGCUUGUGUCAUUGUUCACAUCUGCUUCCCCAUCUCUGGAGUCUCUGUCAAGGCUCACCCUGGAUUUGAGGUAGGUUAAGUAGCCAAUGAGCCCAGCUGGUCCACAGACACCAAAAUUGUGUGUCCUGGAUGAAGUCAGCAUCUUUCCCUCGCCCUGUGCCUUUCUUGUCUGUUGGUUCCUAUUUCUGUUCCUACUCACAAUCUACCUCUGGGGAUAUCACCUGUCU
This 2483-nucleotide long non-coding RNA is filed under the name Homo sapiens (human). Its description in RNAcentral is "PREDICTED lncRNA (TCONS_00155618)". Lineage: Eukaryota; Metazoa; Chordata; Mammalia; Primates; Hominidae. The record is from RNAcentral.